RNAcentral lists this ribosomal RNA (545 nucleotides) under uncultured Glomus. Its description in RNAcentral is "SSU rRNA". It matches the Rfam family "Eukaryotic small subunit ribosomal RNA", at positions 548 to 1098 of the family's 1831-position model. Lineage: Eukaryota; Fungi; Glomeromycota; Glomeromycetes; Glomerales; Glomeraceae. The record is from RNAcentral.
UUGGAGGGCAAGUCUGGUGCCAGCAGCCGCGGUAAUUCCAGCUCCAAUAGCGUAUAUUAAAGUUGUUGCAGUUAAAAAGCUCGUAGUUGAAUUUCGGGGUUAGUAGGUUGGUCAUGCCUCUGGUAUGUACUGGUCUCACUGAUUCCUCCUUCCUUAUGAACCGUAAUGCCAUUAAUUUGGUGUUGCGGGGAAUUUGGACUGUUACUUUGAAAAAAUUAGAGUGUUUAAAGCAAGCUAACGCUUGAAUACAUUAGCAUGGAAUAAUGAAAUAGGACGUUCGAUCUUAUUUUGUUGGUUUCUAGGAUUGACGUAAUGAUUAAUAGGGAUGGUUGGGGGCAUUAGUAUUCAAUUGUCAGAGGUGAAAUUCUUGGAUUUAUUGAAGACUAACUACUGCGAAAGCAUUUGCCAAGGAUGUUUUCAUUAAUCAAGAACGAAAGUUAGGGGAUCGAAGACGAUCAGAUACCGUCGUAGUCUUAACCAUAAACUAUGCCGACUAGGGAUCGGACGGUGUUAUUUUUUGACCCGUUCGGCACCUUACGGGAAAC